UGGUGCAUAGAUAACAUAUGACCCCGUCGAAUCAGUGCAGCUCUCUUGCAGUAUCAGCAUGUUACUUUGGUUUGAAUUUGCACUAUUCACUCUGAGUAAAGAAACGCAGUUUCCUGGAUCUCGUCCAUUAGCAAUAUGAGCCAUUUCUUGAAUUUGACCACCAUUCGAAAGGAUAUCCCACUCACUUCGAUGGUUCUCAUCACUUAGG
RNAcentral lists this unclassified non-coding RNA (208 nucleotides) under Hevea brasiliensis (rubber tree). Lineage: Eukaryota; Viridiplantae; Streptophyta; Magnoliopsida; Malpighiales; Euphorbiaceae. The record is from RNAcentral.